GGAUGUGAGGGGGACCUGGCUGUGAUAUCUGUCAGCACAUGGACAGCCAGGGUUGAGGCGGCUGGUCUGGCUGGCUGGUCAGGUGUCCCCUUCCUCCCUCACUGUAUCACGUGCAUCCCCUUCAGCAAAGAGGAUGACCACGCCCAUUAGAGGAGGACGGGUUUCUGGGUCAAGGGUACACACAUAGCCGCACUCCCCUGCUAGCACCUCCGAAGACGCUCUCAAUAACAACAUGAAUCACACAUGUACAUGACUUCAGCGUUUCUGUUUCAGAGAACCCCCAGAU
RNAcentral lists this small nuclear RNA (286 nucleotides) under Octodon degus (degu). Its description in RNAcentral is "7SK RNA (ENSODEG00000024303.1)". It matches the Rfam family "7SK RNA". Rfam says of the family: 7SK was discovered as an abundant small nuclear RNA in the mid-70s but a possible function has only recently been suggested. Two independent studies have found that 7SK RNA binds the CDK9/cyclin T complex (known as elongation factor P-TEFb). P-TEFb activates transcription by phosphorylating the C-terminal domain of RNA polymerase II. Lineage: Eukaryota; Metazoa; Chordata; Mammalia; Rodentia; Octodontidae. The record is from RNAcentral.